This 2914-nucleotide long non-coding RNA is filed under the name Sus scrofa (pig). Its description in RNAcentral is "lncRNA (ENSSSCG00005000802.1)". The record is from RNAcentral. Lineage: Eukaryota; Metazoa; Chordata; Mammalia; Artiodactyla; Suidae.
GGGGCGAUUAGUGAGGUGUGGAAGGAAGAAGGAGAUACGAAUAUUUUGAAAAGGAAGGACAUGCACAUUAUGCAGACGGACUGUCUGGCCUAUUCAAAAAUGGGGACGAGGUUCCGGGCAAAUAUGGCUUGUGAAAAUCACCUGCAUUUGUAGCCAUGGCUAAUGUUUAAAGAGCUUCUUGGAUUUGAGGUGGAAAUUAAUGCGUUAGAUAUGGCUAUUAUUUCCUUAAGCUCACAUUCAGAAUCAACCGUAUAAAGUCACAUGCAGUUAUAGUACAGCUGAGUGGCUUUAUGAACUUAUUUUGGGAAAUGAGAUGAUGCAUGCAAGCACAAGCUUGUUGAACCAGAAGUAUUUAUUUGCCAGUUGUCUCUGUGGACAUUUAGGAAAGAUUUAAGAGAUGCAGGCAGGGAGAAGUCAGGUAAGUCCUCAAACCCCUGUGCCAUAGCACUUGGGAAGUGAGUGAUGGGCCACGGGCCACAGGAAGGUAAUGGAUACUGUCCUCAAAGGUUUUGAUUAAUGCACGGGGUCUCACAUUUCAUCUGGCCCAACAUGUAACUAAUUGGUCAUUUCUAGCAAAGCCCAUGGGAGAAGAAAAACUUGUUGAAACAAGAUCUGAUUAACCAAGAUGGCCCAGUUCCACACCAAACACAAGCUGCUCUGCUUUGGAGACACCUGUAUAAAACAUGAGGAAAGCCAGCUUUUUCUCUGGGUUUAAAGCAUGUCUAAUGACCUCUGGUGACAAAGAAAGUAUCCCUCUCUUUAACGGGAUAAGAGCCGUGCACAGGCUCAGCCCUCUCUGGGCUGCAAAGAGAACUUUGGGAAUGCUUUCUGUUUGUUUUAAUUAAGAAAAGUCACCUGAGGAUUUAUUAAGAGCAGGCAGAAAAUAUCCAUCAAAGAAACACUAUGCAGUCCUCAAAAAGCAUGAGGCAUGUUUGUGCUUUCUGAUAGAGAAUUAUCUCCAACAUUGACAACUUAAGUGAUCAAAUCAAGGUACAGAGUGAGGUUUAUAGUAUAUGAUCAUUUAUGUCAAAAAUGAAAUAUGUGUAUGCAUAGGCAUAAAAGAGGUUGCCUCUGGGGAGGGGAGUUGAGUAGCCGAGAGUAUGCAGGGAACUUAUUUUUUAGUCUAUUCUUUUAUUUUUUGAAUUUAUUUCUAUAUGUACUUAAAUUCAAGUAGAUUGUUCUCCUCAGUUGAAAAUAUUGAAAUGUUUAGGAAAAAAGAAAACAAUACCCAUAAUGAAAUUUUCAAAAGAGGUAGAAACAGGUCUUUCCCUUUUCUGUUUGCAAAAUGAGCCAGAAUUAUGCCAGAUGCUGGGACCAAAAUGAAGGUUCCAGUAGUGGAGGUUAAGGAUAAAGCGCUCCUUCCUGAUAGUUCACUCAAGGGUUCCUGAGUGUAUUAGUUUGCUGGGAUUGCUUAAAAAACAAAAAAGACAAAAAACAAAAAACGUAAACCGUGUGGCUUAAAGCAACAAAAAUUUAUGAUCGCACAGUUCUGGAGUCUUAAAGUCUGAGAUUAGGGCGUCAGCAGGUUGGUUCCUCCUGAGAGCUCUGAGGAAAAUCUAUGCCUCUCCCCUAAUUUCUAGUGGUUUUAUGGCAAUUCUUAGAUUUCUUGGCUUGUAGAAGCCUCACUCCCAUUUCACGUGGCGUUCUUCCCCUGGUGUGUGUGUGUGUCUGUCUGUCUGUCCAGAUUUCCCCUUCUCUAAGGACAUCGGUCAUAUUGCACUAGGCGGUGCACCCUAACGACUUCACCUUAACUCAGCUAAUUACAUCCGCAACAACCCUAUUUCAAAUAAGGUCACAUUCUGAGUCACUGAGAGAUGGGACUUCAACAUAUGAACUUCAGAGGGGACAGCUUUCAGCCCAUCACGCUAAGCCUAUUCACUUAUCCAGAAUUACAUCGCUCCAGAGGGGAAGCAUAUUGACGCAUGUCUAUAAAACACAGCCGACAGGAUGCAUCUCCUCACGCCACACGCGGAUAAGGUGGAUACACGCUGGCAUAGUUUAUACCUUAAAAUGUCAAGUGCAUUACCAUCCUCUGCGAAAAGAGAGAGCACAAACUUGGUUCAUGAAGAAUGAACAGUUUCUCUAGUCAGAGCAAUAAAUGAAUAAAAUUGAUUCCCCCACCUCCCCUCUCCCCGAGUCAAUACCAGCUCAGGGUGUGGUCAUUCGCGGAUGUUGAUUAAGCACCUACUAGUGCCUGACACGGGCCCAGGAACGAGCACAGGGUUGGACAGAGCAUCCUCUGUACUGUCAGGUGGAGAAAAGAGAAGCACAAGUAAUAAUUAUGGGAUGUGGUAAUAGAUCAUGUAAGAGAGAUAUGACAAGAAAAGAAAAGCCCUAAUUCCAGGUAGGGAGGGCUUCCUAUGAGAGGUGGUGCGAAGGCUGACUAUUGAAGGUUGAGUCAGAGAUAAAUGAGGCAGGUGAGGGCAGGGAGAGGGGAGAAGGAGGAGCAGGAGAUUCCAGGGGCUGCCCUGUUCAAAGCAGGAGUGACCCAGUCGGCCCUCUGGUGACUGGGAUGGAGACACUGGAGUUGACAUUGAACCUCAGGUGUGGACGAGCUUCUGAAGCAUUUUAUCCUUCAGCCUGAGGGUUUGGGACUUCCUUAUCCUAUAGGAAGCCCUGGAGGGUUUAGGGGAGCCGCUUGGUCAGAUUUCCUUUACUGGAACACCUUUCUGGGUGAGAAUGAAUAAAGGUGGGAGAGAUGAAAGAGAGAUAUGCGCGGAGAUUUUUGUAGGUGAGGAAAAAAAUGGGCAGUGAACUAUGGUGGGGAUGACAGGAGUGGAGGGGAUGCAUGCGUUCAUUUCAUUUUCCUAAAUUUUGCUAUUGUCUUUCACAUUAUAAAAGUUAACGCAAGCUCGUUGGAAAAUUUUUAAAAUGUGUCUGGAAUAAAAUAAAAUGACUCUUAAUUCCACUCCAG